AAUGUACUCCCUCCGUCUAACAAAAAAUGUCUCAAGUUUGUCAAAAAUUGGAUGUACCUAGACAAACUCUAGACAAACUUAGAAUAUAAAAAUGCAUUCAAAUUUAAUCAAAAUUGAGACAUCAUUUGUUGGGCGGAGGAAGUAAAAG
This is a non-coding RNA of Brachypodium distachyon (stiff brome), 148 nucleotides long. Lineage: Eukaryota; Viridiplantae; Streptophyta; Magnoliopsida; Poales; Poaceae. The record is from Rfam.